UGGAUGGAGAGUUUGAUCCUGGCUCAGAACGAACGCUGGCGGCGUGCUUAACACAUGCAAGUCAGGGGGAAUCCUCUCUUCGGAGAGGUAGUACACCGGCGCACGGGUGAGUAACGCGUGAGUAACCUACCCAUUAGACCUGGAUAACCCGGCGAAAGUUGGGCUAAGACAGGAUGUGUUAAUAGGCUUAAUGGUGUAUUGAUAAAGGCAGGUUUCGGCUUGUGCUAAUGGAUGGGCUCGCGUCUGAUUAGCUAGUUGGUAAGGUAAAGGCUUACCAAGGCGACGAUCAGUAGGCGGCCUGAGAGGGUGGUCGCCCA
RNAcentral lists this ribosomal RNA (317 nucleotides) under bacterium. RNAcentral's name for it is "bacterial SSU rRNA". It matches the Rfam family "Bacterial small subunit ribosomal RNA", at positions 1 to 310 of the family's 1533-position model. RNAcentral also lists the same sequence under 1 other name. The record is from RNAcentral.